This 543-nucleotide ribosomal RNA is filed under the name Triticum aestivum (bread wheat). RNAcentral describes it as "partial small subunit ribosomal RNA". The record is from RNAcentral. Lineage: Eukaryota; Viridiplantae; Streptophyta; Magnoliopsida; Poales; Poaceae.
AUGCUACCACUACCCGUCCACCUGUCCUUCAUGCGCGGCCACUACUGGGCGGGCAUGAAGGCGAACUGGAUCGUCCUCAUCCACCAAUCUGCUGCGCGUGAGGUGACACAAGAAUCCCGGCGGCGUGUUCAGAAGAAGGAUUGGCCAGUGCUGCCGGCUGGCAUCAAGUUCGAUCCCACAGAUCAGGAGCUGAUCGAGCACCUUGAGGCCAAAGUUAGUGCUGACAGCGCGAGAUCUCACCCUCUCAUCGAUUUGUUCAUACCAACCAUCGACAGUGAGCACGGCAUAUGCUACACCCAUCCUGAGAAACUUCCAGGUAUCACACUGAGUGGCCUAAGCAAGCAUUUCUUCCAGCACAAUUCCAGGGCAUUCAAAAGGGGCAUGUGGAUGUGUCGCAAGAUACAGUCAGAGUGCGGCAUGCACGCGAUGUGGCACAACACCGGCAAUACCUUGCCAGUGAUGGUCAACGGCCGGCAGACGGGCAGCAAAAAGGUUCUGGUGCUGCACACCAACAAGAACUUCGACCAGCAGAGGACUAACUAG